UGUUGGACGUAUGAAGUGUAAACCUCCUCUACCUGAAAGAAGCUGAUAGAAAAGCAGGGGAGGGACCCACACACAAAGGAAACAAUGAGGCUAUUCUGCUCUGGACCAAAAAGGUCACCAUAGACCUCACCUGUUCAUCUCAAAAGCCAGUCUUCCAUGAAGUGGGAUGGACCCUCUUUGGGUUCUUUGGAUUCAACACCUUCACUUGACCAAACAAGACCAUUCUUAGAGUGGAGUGGAAGUCUUCUCUAGGAGCUUCCUCCAACAGAUAUUCUCCAAUUUACCCUGGAGGCAGCCGGAUGGCAGCUGUUGGAAUGGAGGCUCAUCACUGGAACUUGGGUUGUGGACUUGAGAUGUGGAUUGACAAAAAAACUUUUCUGUCAAUGUGUAGAAAGGAGGGAUAAAAUGGGAAGCCUCUCCUGUGUCUACUGCAAGAAUGUUGGUUAUGAUAAAGCGUCCAUACUUGUGAGAACCCUUGGGAGAGAUUCUUAUCUUAGAACAGUUACAAGAUGAAUUAGAGCCAAGGCUCUGAAUUUAGAUGUUCUGUAUUCCAAUCCUUCUUCCACCCUCUGUUUAACCACGGGCAAGUUGUGAGCUUUUUCUUCCCCAUUAGGGAAGAUAAUAAUAGUGCCUCUCUUGUAUAAGAGUAUGAGGAGUAGUAAACACCCAAUUGAUGCAAACUACUAUUAUAAGUCUCUGGGGCAACUGGUUUGUUCAAAUGGCGUGAUUGUUAUGGUUUAUGUCACUGAUCAAAUUUCCCUUUUCACACUGGCUGCUAGGAAGUUCAACAUCAGUCUUGAACCAACCACAGCAAAUUUCAAAUGUGAUUUUUGUGAAUGGGUGGUAUUUAUGGAUCCAUUUAUUAUCAUUUGUUUCUUGCUCUACUAUUUGUGUGUGUAGCUCGAUCUAACUUACAUGUCCUCGAAGUUGCCUUUUAUCUUUCUAGUAAGAGAUCUGGUAUCUUGGAUGAGAAGAUUCUGCUCACAUGUGGCUAUUUCAUCUCCUUAGUGAGAUGGUGGGUUCCUCAAGAGCAGGGAUGGUCUCCAAGGCACUUUUUGACACUCCCCUCCCCCCACAGUUAAGCUGAGUGGAUGAGUUGAUGAAAUGUUAGAAGGCAAAGAACUCAAAUGUGCUCUCUGCCUUAGCCAUAGGAGAGGAAAUAGCUGACCCGAGAUAUCUCUGCUCUCUCAAAUGUCUGUAAAACUAAAGGUCAGUGACCAAUGUGCCAAUUUCCUGUGCUGCUUGGCCACAGACGUGUUAGAUCAGAGGGAGACUUUGUGGUGUGAGAGCUGCCUCACUGGCUGCUGGCAUGAGGAUUCAGACUCCAUUUUCUGGAGUAGGAGAGAUUGCACUGGCUCCCCCACCAACAUCUGUGUCAUCCUCUUCUUUUUGGAUGCACAUAAUGCAGAUCAUGUAUUUUAUAUCUUCUCAUGAAAAACUACACAUUUGGGCAACUCUGGGCCCCCAGUCCCACAUGGCAACCAUUGGUGCCCUCUUCCGAUGGGCAUAAAUUCUGGAGUGUUAUGCUGAUUCCCUGCUGCCGGCUCUACCUCAUCCUGCCUGACCCUGGGGGUGACUGAGGCUGAACCCUGGCUGAUGGUGAUAUUUAUGAUUCUGAGACCCAAGCCUCCUUUCUUGCCUCCCUGGAGGCCCUCUGCUAUCUCGUGCAAACUUGGAGGGCCCUCAUGCUCUUAGGGACCCUUGGUUUUCCCAUUUGUAAGUUGCAGUCCCCUCUGUGGCAACUUCAUCCCCCUUGGACGCCCAUCCUCACCCCACCCCAUUCACCCAAAUCUUUCCCAUUCUUUAGACUUGAACCAUCUCAUUCCCUCCGGAAGGGUAUGUUCAUGUGCCCUCAUGUUGUUCUGUAAUUAUUACCCGUGGUCCUGCCAUGUACCCAUUGACCUGCACACACCUGGGGCUCAGAACACAUUCAUGAAUGAGUGAGUGGGAGGGUGAACCAAUACACAAGCAAGUAGAUUCAAGUUGUCUGAACUCACAUGGGCCCAAGAAGCACAACCCAAAUUUGAAAGCAGGACUCAGAAUCCUGUGCUCACCUAUAAUAUCACUCGGCCAGGGUCUGGACCACCCACUGUCCUCCUAUCUCUGCAGAGCUAAGCUUUGCCCACAGAGCCACUGUGAGCCUGGCCACCCUCACCAAGCUGACGUCCAGGGGAGGAGGACAUCCCAGCACUAAGACCAUCA
This is a long non-coding RNA of Canis lupus familiaris (dog), 2202 nucleotides long. RefSeq lists it as uncharacterized. The record is from RefSeq and is a predicted model, not a curated record. NCBI's taxonomy places the organism in Eukaryota, Metazoa, Chordata, Mammalia, Carnivora, Canidae. The transcript has 3 exons.